RNAcentral lists this long non-coding RNA (1677 nucleotides) under Vigna radiata. RNAcentral describes it as "long non-coding RNA (VRAD_LNC005942)". Lineage: Eukaryota; Viridiplantae; Streptophyta; Magnoliopsida; Fabales; Fabaceae. The record is from RNAcentral.
GGAAAAAAAAUCAUCUUUUUUUUAUUAUUAUUACUGAGAUAAAACAUAAAUCACCUCAAUGAUACAUGAUAGGAAAAUCAUUAGAGAUUAUCCUAUUAAUUUCAAGGAUCACAGCAUAUGACAAUAUGCGUAAGUUCAAAUGCUAAAUAAUCAAACUGCAGCCAUGGAAGUAUCAGUCAAAAGAUACUAGUAACAUGAUUUCUAAAAAAAAUUCAAUGAACUGAAUUAUAGAAGAUGUCAUGUAAUAGCCUUAUCGGCUGUUAGUAAAAUAACAAUAUUAUAAAGAUAUAUAUAUUGGAUAUCAAAUUAAGGAAUUACUGGUUAAUCAAAAUAGACAAGUCUAGCAACUUUUUCUGUAAAAGAAAAAAAUAUUAAAUAUAAUAAAAAGAUAAAUUAAUAGUCCAUACUAUUUAUAACGAUGAAUGGUUCCGAUGUUGAAAUGAAAGUUGUUGUAUCAAAAUUUAAUUCUAAUUGGCAGCAAAAUGAAUUAAAUAAUAUUGUAUAAUUUAAACUUUCAAAGUGGUUUUAUCUACUUCACGUGAUGUCUCUUCAUCAUAGAAUGACAUGUUACAGCUUUUAGAUAGAAUAAUAAUAGAUAGUAUGUAUGAUUUGAAUUUUUGACAGCAAAAAUAAUAAAGAUUAUAAAUAUAAAAGAAUUUUGUAUAAGGAUAAAAGGCAACCAAACAAAAAAAUUCAGUAACUUUGAAAGGAAAAGACGCACACGUUUUUUGCAGAGAACAUGAAUUGUAAAAGAAUUCCACACAAUAAUAAUUAAAUAAUAAUACACUAAGAAAUAAUCCUACAAUGGAAAUUAAGUUCCAUUUCGGUGGACAUAUCAUAGGGAAUAAAUGAGAGAUUACAAGGUCUAAAGUGGGAUGACUAUCUUUCCUUUCUUCUCAUUCUUCAAGAAAGCAAAACAACAAUUUACUCAUUCCUACGAAGCCGUGAGAUCAAGUUUUUCAGAGUCUUAUGAGACCAUUUAUUCAAUAACCACGAUAAGCAUUUCGUUAUGCAUCUCACAGAUUCACGAGACAAGGUAUGGUAAUAUCAAGCGGCAACCAAAAGAUCGAAACAUGUAUUUCAUAUUUAUAUUACAAGGUAUUCAUACAAUCCAGAGAAAGAAAAGGUUAACUUCCCUACCUCAAGUUCAGAAAGCUUUUAUCGUUGCUUUAAGAUCCACUACCACUCCUCUUGAAGGACCUAUGUCCCUCUUAGACGCUCACAAAGAUUUCAGAUUACCCUCACUUCUUCACUUCUAGAUUUCAUUAGAUUAGAAGGCUGACGUUUUAUACUUGUUUUCAGCAACCUAAUGGUUUGGACGGUUCUAAUCAAAGAGGAACCAAAUCAUAUAAUUUCUAUUCCUUGUUUCCGCAACUACUUUUAAAUUUUGUGCAUGUUUUGUUUCAUUUUCUUACAGAAGCCAAAUUAUCAUAUAUGUUAGGGUGGAAAGGAAAAAGGAGAAUAUUAUGUAUUGGGAAAAAGAAAAAAUUAUACGUCGUGAAAGAUAAAAAUGAAAAAGCUAGACAUUCUCAACUACAAAAUAUGAAUGAUUGGCAGGACAAGAACAUCUUUCCUAACCCAAUGAUAUCAAUCCGAUAAUAAUUAUAAUAGAGAUUUUUAAUUCUAAUUCCCAAGUUUAAUCUGUACUUUCUUAGUUAAAUUUAAAAUAAGUAACCC